This 435-nucleotide long non-coding RNA is filed under the name Homo sapiens (human). RNAcentral describes it as "HSALNT0085899". The record is from RNAcentral. Lineage: Eukaryota; Metazoa; Chordata; Mammalia; Primates; Hominidae.
UCUUUUUGUCCAAUCCAGAGUACAUUGCUGAAUGAGUAUUUAUAUAUUUGUUUAUUUUUUCCAUAUUUUCAACCCAUUUGCCUGUGUAUUAUUUGAACCAAGAGGGCUAAAUUGGAUUAAAAGAAUUGAAGAGGUAGAAGAGACAAAAAAAGGAGUCUUGUGAAGACAUAGUGAAAAGACAGCUGUCUGAAAGCCAGAGAAACAGUCCUCAUGGGGCAAUUGAAUCAUCUAACACCUUGAUCUUGGAGUUCUCAUCCUCCAGAACUGAUUUAUUAUCUUGGCAUCUGCUUUGAAAAGGACCCAACCAAAACAAUAUUAUAUCAGCAUAAAAUCUAAGGAUUGCUUUCUGUAAUGAAGAUUUUGUCAUCUUAGACUAGGAAGAUGAAGAAAACAUCUUAAAGAUGAAAGAAUAGUGAGCCAUGGCCCAUGAGAACU